CACAUGCAGUCGAACGAGCGAGAGAGAGCUUGCUUUCUCAAGCGAGUGGCGAACGGGUGAGUAACGCGUGAGGAACCUGCCUCAAAGAGGGGGACAACAGUUGGAAACGACUGCUAAUACCGCAUAAGCCCACAGGUCGGCAUCGACCAGAGGGAAAAGGAGCAAUCCGCUUUGAGAUGGCCUCGCGUCCGAUUAGCUAGUUGGUGAGGUAAUGGCCCACCAAGGCAACGAUCGGUAGCCGGACUGAGAGGUUGAACGGCCACAUUGGGACUGAGACACGGCCCAGACUCCUACGGGAGGCAGCAGUGGGGAAUAUUGCACAAUGGGGGAAACCCUGAUGCAGCGACGCCGCGUGGAGGAAGAAGGUCUUCGGAUUGUAAACUCCUGUUGUUGAGGAAGAUAAUGACGGUACUCAACAAGGAAGUGACGGCUAACUACGUGCCAGCAGCCGCGGUAAAACGUAGGUCACAAGCGUUGUCCGGAAUUACUGGGUGUAAAGGGAGCGCAGGCGGGAAGACAAGUUGGAAGUGAAAUCUAUGGGCUCAACCCAUAAACUGCUUUCAAAACUGUUUUUCUUGAGUAGUGCAGAGGUAGGCGGAAUUCCCGGUGUAGCGGUGGAAUGCGUAGAUAUCGGGAGGAACACCAGUGGCGAAGGCGGCCUACUGGGCACCAACUGACGCUGAGGCUCGAAAGUGUGGGUAGCAAACAGGAUUAGAUACCCUGGUAGUCCACACCGUAAACGAUGAUUACUAGGUGUUGGAGGAUUGACCCCUUCAGUGCCGCAGUUAACACAAUAAGUAAUCCACCUGGGAGUACGACCGCAAGGGUUGAAACUCAAAGGAAUUGACGGGGGCCCGCACAAGCAGUGAGUAUGUGG
This 877-nucleotide ribosomal RNA is filed under the name uncultured bacterium. RNAcentral's name for it is "bacterial SSU rRNA". It matches the Rfam family "Bacterial small subunit ribosomal RNA", at positions 52 to 944 of the family's 1533-position model. The record is from RNAcentral.